CUUUAAUUUUCAAAAAAAUAAAUAAUAAAUACAAAAAAAAUUCAAAAAAUUACAUUUUAGCCCCUAAACUUUCUCAAAAUUACAUUUUAGCCCCAUAUUUUCCUAAAAUUGCAUUUUUGCCCCAGAAACUUUGCACCCGUUACAAUUUGGUCCUUCUAGGCAUGACAAGACCGCCCCCAAUCUGCGUUCUUGCGUGCACCGCUUUCCGCGCCUGGCACCUCCAAUGCAUGGCCUCCCUUCUCCGCUGCCGCCUGGAAACAGAGAAGAAGGAGACAAAAUGGAAAGCUUAAAAAGAAAAAUUGAAGAGAAAAAGAAAUGGGGAUUCGGCAACGCAAAAAAAAAAAGCAAAAGAACAGCAAAAAAACAGAGAGCAGUAUGAAAACUACCAUUCGGCCUCCCCUCCACCAAAGUCAGACCAACCACCGUCAUACCUCCAUUCCACCGUCACCCCAACCUAAACCGAAACCCAAAUCUCUCCAAUACUCACCUUUGUUCACCCUCAUCAACCCAAAAAGUAACAACCAAAAACAAAACACAAAUCACCUUCUAAGAGGAGACGUCGAUGGAAAGGGCAUGGCCGAAUGACAAGAGAGCAGCGACGGUGACAGCAGCGACCAGAGCGACCUCGUGGGCGGUGAAAGGAGCUAGAGUCGAACAAAGAAUAAGAGAAGAAGAGAGGAAAGUAAAAAGAAGAAAAAAAGAAAGAACAAAAAUUGAAAGAAAAAUAGAAGAAAAAAAAAAGAAAGAAAGAAAAAAAAGGAAAAAAUAAAAAAUAAAAUAAAAUACAAGAGUCGGGCCAACCUGACCCGACGAUCCGGAUCCGACCCGAAUAGCAGACCCGACCCGUCCUGCCAGCAAGCCACACCAACAGAAACAGCAGGCUUGUCCAGAAAAAAAAAACAAAAAACAGCAGGCCUACAGCCCAAAAAAAAGCAGGCCCAGCAGCAGGCCACAACCCAACACCCCAGCAGCUCCAACAGGCCAGCUCCAGC
This 992-nucleotide long non-coding RNA is filed under the name Gossypium raimondii (Peruvian cotton). Its description in RNAcentral is "long non-coding RNA (GRAI_LNC007256)". Lineage: Eukaryota; Viridiplantae; Streptophyta; Magnoliopsida; Malvales; Malvaceae. The record is from RNAcentral.